CAGUCGCCGCGGUAAUACGAAGGGGGCUAGCGUUGCUCGGAAUCACUGGGCGUAAAGGGUGCGUAGGCGGGUCUUUAAGUCAGGGGUGAAAUCCUGGAGCUCAACUCCAGAACUGCCUUUGAUACUGGGUAUCUUGAGUAUGGAAGAGGUGAGUGGAAUUCCGAGUGUAGAGGUGAAAUUCGUAGAUAUUCGGAGGAACACCAGUGGCGAAGGCGGCUCACUGGUCCAUUACUGACGCUGAGGUGCGAAAGCGUGGGGAGCAAACAGGAUUAGAUACCCCCGUAGUCCCUGUCUCUUAUAC
RNAcentral lists this ribosomal RNA (301 nucleotides) under uncultured bacterium. RNAcentral's name for it is "partial 16S ribosomal RNA". It matches the Rfam family "Bacterial small subunit ribosomal RNA", at positions 509 to 807 of the family's 1533-position model. The record is from RNAcentral.